GGCGAACGCUGGCGGCGUGCCUAAUACAUGCAAGUUGAGCGCUGAAGGUUGGUACUUGUACCAACUGGAUGAGCAGCGAACGGGUGAGUAACGCGUGGGGAAUCUGCCUUUGAGCGGGGGACAACAUUUGGAAACGAAUGCUAAUACCGCAUAAAAACUUUAAACACAAGUUUUAAGUUUGAAAGAUGCAAUUGCAUCACUCAAAGAUGAUCCCGCGUUGUAUUAGCUAGUUGGUGAGGUAAAGGCUCACCAAGGCGAUGAUACAUAGCCGACCUGAGAGGGUGAUCGGCCACAUUGGGACUGAGACAUGGCCCAAACUCCUACGGGAGGCAGCAGUAGGGAAUCUUCGGCAAUGGACGAAAGUCUGACCGAGCAACGCCGCGUGAGUGAAGAAGGUUUUCGGAUCGUAAAACUCUGUUGGUAGAGAAGAACGUUGGUGAGAGUGGAAAGCUCAUCAAGUGACGGUAACUACCCAGAAAGGGACGGCUAACUACGUG
Molecule: ribosomal RNA, 497 nt
Filed under: uncultured bacterium
Lineage: Bacteria
Description: partial 16S ribosomal RNA
Rfam family: Bacterial small subunit ribosomal RNA
Source: RNAcentral